GAGAAAAGACUUGAGAGGUUUAUAGUAAAAAAUUGCUAAUUUAUUGUAUAUAUAAAAUAUUAUACCCAAGGGUUCGAAUCCCUUUUUCCUCU
Molecule: transfer RNA, 92 nt
Filed under: Plasmodium falciparum RAJ116
Lineage: Eukaryota; Apicomplexa; Aconoidasida; Haemosporida; Plasmodiidae
Description: tRNA-Ser
Rfam family: tRNA
About the family: Transfer RNA (tRNA) molecules are approximately 80 nucleotides in length.
Source: RNAcentral